GGGACACAGGGGAGCUCUGUCCCCACCCCGUCACUGAGGGGCUCAGUGUCACCGAGCUGCAGGCGCUGUGCCGGGAGCUCCACGCCCGCGUGGGGCGGGUGGACGAGGAGCGCUAUGACAUGGGGACACGUGUCAGCAAGAACGUGGCCGAGAUGGAGGAGCUG
This 164-nucleotide long non-coding RNA is filed under the name Columba livia (rock pigeon). RNAcentral describes it as "partial uncharacterized LOC102089657". Lineage: Eukaryota; Metazoa; Chordata; Aves; Columbiformes; Columbidae. The record is from RNAcentral.